Molecule: RNA transcript, 2603 nt
Organism: Lotus japonicus
Lineage: Eukaryota; Viridiplantae; Streptophyta; Magnoliopsida; Fabales; Fabaceae
Gene name: glucan endo-1,3-beta-glucosidase 9
Exons: 4
Source: RefSeq, a predicted model, not a curated record
GUUGCUACUGAGUACUGACUCAAAGAUUUCACUUUUACACCUUUCCCCUCCUUUCCCAACAUUCAUCAAAACUCAGAACUCAGAACCAACGCAUCCACACACCUCACUGUCUCUCUUAACUCCCAAAUGCCCACCAUUUCUCACUUCGUCACAUUCACCUUCCUAACCAUUUCCACCAUGGCCUGUGCAGCUCAAGCUGUGGGUGUGAACUGGGGCACCGAGGCUUCUCACCCUCUACCAGCCCCCAAAGUUGUGAAGCUCUUGAAAUCCAACAACAUCAACAAAGUUAAGCUCUUUGAUGCCAACUCUAGUGUUCUUCUAGCUCUUUCUGGGUCUAAUGUUGCUGUCACUGUGGGUAUUCCUAACAUUUUGCUCAGAAGCUUGAACUCUUCCAAGAAGGCUGCGGAUAGUUGGGUACAUGAUAAUGUAACCCGCUAUGUUUCCAAUGGGGGAAGUGUAGCUCGAAUUGAAUAUGUUGCUGUUGGUGAUGAGCCGUUUCUUAAAAGUUAUGGUGAACAGUUUCAUCCCUUUGUAAUUGGAGCUGCUAUGAACAUUCAAUCAGCUUUAAAGAGAGCUAAACUGGACAGCAGAGUGAAAGUAGUGGUUCCAUGUAGCUUUGACAGUUUCGAGUCAGGAUCGAACCUCUCCUCAGAAGUGCAUUUCAGGCCUGACCUCAACAAAACCAUGAUUCAGCUCCUUUCAUUUCUUGACAAGCACGGAUCCCCUUUCUUUGUGACCAUUUCUCCAUUCAUAACCUUCCUUCAAACCAAAAACACCUCACUGGACUUUUUCCUCUUUAAAGAAACUGCACGCCCUCGUAAUUUCAGCCAUAAAACAUACAAAAAUAGCUUCGACUUGAGUUACGAUACAGUGGUUGCUGCAUUAUCAGAAGUUGGAUUUCCUAGCAUGGACGUUGUUGUGGCGAAGAUUGGUUGGCCGACGGAUGGAUCUGCCAAUGCAAGCUCAUACCUAGCAGAAACAUUCAUGAAAGGCCUGAUAAACCAUCUUCAUAGAAGCUCGGGGACCCCGCUCAGGCCGCAUCAGCAACCGCCCGAAACAUACAUUUUAAGCCUUCUUGACGAGGACGAAAGGAGCAUUGCUGCCGGAAACUUUGAGAGGCAUUGGGGAUUGUUCACUUUUGAUGGCCAAGCAAAGUACCAUGUGGACCUUGGCCAGGGCUCAAAGAGUCUUGUGAAUGCUCAAAAUGUUGAGUAUCUUUCCUCUAAGUGGUGUGUUGUGAACAACAACAAAGACUUGUCUAAUGCAACUGCAAGCGCUUCAGAAGCUUGUGCAAAUGCUGAUUGUACUGCUCUAUCUCCUGGUGGAUCUUGUUUUAACAUCAGCUGGCCUAGUAACAUAUCAUAUGCUUUUAACAGUUAUUAUCAGCAGCAUGAUCAAACAGCAGAAAGCUGUGACUUUGGCGGUCUUGGUUUAAUCACCACCGUUGAUCCGUCCAUGGAUCGUUGCAGGUUUCCGAUUGAGAUUCGCACUUCACAAGCUGAAUCUAGCAGGGUGUGCAGCUUCCAGUGGAUGAUUUUACUUGUAACAACCUUCUUGGCAGUUAGGUAAAGGAACAUGCUGAUGAAGGCUUCUAGCUUAAUUGGAGUAGCAAGAUCUUGUAAGUACUGAAUCAGUCUCUCCCUUAGAAAAGAUGAUCUUAUUUUAAUGCCUUUGAGUUUGCUAUUCAGUCCCUUCUUGCAGCUCUUGGAACUCAAGCUCUCAUAUAGACAAGAACUGAAGAACUUGUCAAUUUGUAUACCAAGCUGUAUUUCCACUGAUGCAAAUAUAUUUCCCUACUAGUAAUCAGCUUGAUCAAAUCACAAAUUAAUUUCCAUGCCAUCCAAAACCACAACAUGUCAACUACUGCAACAACAUCAGCAUCCUUGCACACAAUGAAAAUGGGUUGAAUUUGAAGAAAAGAGCCUUGGAAGAAGGUCUUUGUAUGAAGCAAUAUGAAGACUUCAAGAACAUGUCUAGUAAAAUUCAACUUGAUAGUGAAUGAAUUUGAUAUAUUAAUCUCACACUUCAAUUGAUCAAAACGAUGGUGUCUUUUGUGGAAGAAUGAACUUGCAGUGAACAAAGACAUAGUCUAUACCAUUCUUAACCCCAAUUCUAUCAGCUCUUUUCUUUGAAACCUUUUUACAAACAGCUUGUCUACAACUUCUGGAUUCACCAGGAUCAAGUGGAAUUUUCCUAAACUGAUUUCCUAUCUGGGAAUCAUUUCCACAAACACCUUUUGAGCAACACAAGAAUCCAUCAAGAUCAAACUGAAUAUUUGCUAUCUCUGAGGAUUUUUCACAAAAAACAUGUGAACAAUCCCAAAAUCCUCCAGGAUCAAAUGAAAGUUUCUUAGGAAGAUUUACUAUCUCAGAGUAAUUUCCACAAACACUUGGUGUGCGAAAACAAGGACCAUCAAUCUCAAGCAACAAGUUCGAAUCAUUCUUCCAAUCAAAAGAGAUAUUCAAUAAUCCUAGCCAAGACAAUUGAAAUUCUUUGAAUGAAAGAAGGAUUUGAAUUACCUCUGUGAUCAAAUUCUUCAUGAGACACGAAUCUGCUUCAAGAUUGAUCGCACCCUCACUGAAAUCUCCAAAAACAUAAGCAUU